AAGAAAUGUUCACAUUAAAUAUUGCAAUUUUUUUUUUUCCUUUUGAACUAUUUUGCUAAUUGUUUAAGAUUGCUAAUUAUUAUGCUGAAUUGACAGAACACGCCGGAAUCCAUGAAUGAAUCCAGUGUGUCUUGCAUAUCACCAGUGAUUUUGAAUUGAUUGAUGGUUAACUGAAGGAUACUUGCAUCAGACACUUAUAACAAUGAACGUAGGAGAUAAGUUAAAUGGCUUACCAUCAUUUUGAUUUAAAUAAACGUUUUGUUCUGAAUCACUCCCUAUCAGAGACUAUAGAGGCGUUCAACGUCUUUUUGGUUGAUAAAACUCGAAUGUUUGAAAACGAGAAUCACUCGCCCUUUAUAUACCCUGUGGAAAAAAAAAUAACGCCAAAGAGGAGGGACAGGGGGUGGAGAUUUUGGAGAAAGAAUGAGACCCGCACUCGCCAUAGCCGAGCCGGAACCUAGGUGAAUGAGAGAAAUAGAGAAAGAAGGGUGGUGCAAGGAUGGGCCACCUCGUCUACGGCCACCUGGCCGCCCCAUAAAAAAAUUUGUAUAUUAGGUAACUCGGCAAGAGGUAGAGACGAAAUCGAGGGCCCCCAUCCUUGGGUUCUUGUACAGGAGAAAGAGGGAGGAGGGAUUGACGUCGUAGCAUAUAGCGACGUAAGCUAUUCGCUUACAGGUGUACAGCUGGUGUUGCCGUAUGGAUAUCGGUGAGAGUGGAUUUCUCCCCGUCUUUUCUCUUUCCUCUCUGAGAUUGUAGACGCGAAGGGUCAGCGCAUUCCAGCCGACUCUAUAAGCCAAAGCCAUUAUGAGUCCUAGAGAUCACUUUGGUCUGUUGCCAGUAGUUUCCAGCCAUAACAAAUAGCCUAAACAUGCGCCACAGCCAAGUCUUCUUCUUUAACAUAACUGCCGAAGGUGAAAGGAAUUCAAUCCAAACUAAACCGAUGUCUAUGUUGUCCAGUCACGAAAUUAAUAGCAAGACAUCAACAGCAGCAGCAAAAUAUAAUCAACUUUCUCUCUCUAUAGAUCGUUCGUAUUGUCUUUUUUCAAAUGUUUCCCUGUUCGCUUCGUAACGCACAAUCUCGCCUUAUCUACUGUAGUCUACAACUAUCAACAAAAUAAAAAUCCAUUCAUUUAUGUUUUGCUAUACCCCACCCGUUAACCGUAUAUAGGUGAGUUUCUUUCACUGGCGUCUGAGUAAUCGCAAGGACUAGGGCGGAUGAAGGCGUGCUGACGUACGGACUUCAGUGUUGACCUCAAUCGGGCGUCUUGCGCGUUCGAUUUCUUCACCGAGUUCCGCUUGUGCCAUUCUGUAUUGUACCAACGGUUAACUCGAUUAAGAAGAAUCCAUUUUUGCAUACGACAGCCGGUUUAUCGUCGUUCGUUCACCAGAGAUUUCUAUCCAUUUUUGAAAAUGUUCCUUUAUUUUUGGGGCUCUUCUACGUUCUUGUCAACGGUUAUGUGGCUAGUGGGCCGUGAUGGACGAUGGCGGGUCACGGGACGUGGCCUGGUCGCGGAUUUAAACAUAUAUCCUAGAACUAAAACAACCGCAGAGUUUUUAUGACCGUGUCGAGUGGACAUGGAUCAUGGAUCACGGCCGCCGAUGAACUUUCCCCUAGCCUCAUUGAAAUGCUAAGCUUGUGCGCCAAAUUUUUAUGUGUUUUUACUUAUCUCUUCUUUUUUUUUUCAGAUAAAAAACCGAAUUUUCUUCGAAUGGGAGGAAAGGGGGAAGAGAGAAAUUGUGUUACUAGCUCCCGACACGACCUUCACUACCAUGUCCGCAUCGACACUAUCGCGGGUUCGGGAGAGAGUUGAAGGAUGUGAGACGAAGUCGAAGGUUGACGGAAGUGCGCAUUGUUUUUGACAAUUGAUUAAAAACGAAAUCGGAGAAACUUUUCAUCAGUUUUACCUGGAGAUUUAUACGACCGGUUAAAGUUUAAUGGAUUCAAUUACAAUUUGUGGGGAAUAACGAUGCGGAUACCUGUGGUCUCCGAGGAACGAGCACUCUGUUCAGUUAGCUAAUAGCCACUAUUACAACAACCAACUUCUGCAACCUGAAGAACCUGCGCGUUGGUCAGAUACUUCGAAGAGUGGGGCACAUUGAUUGAUUGAAAAACGGAAGAGACUGACCAAACUGGAUUUUAUGGCGAAUUCGUGGCCGAAUUUCGUUGCCCAGCGAUGCAAACCACUGGACGUUUUUUCCCGUUGUUUUUGUGUGUUUUUUUGUUGUCUUGCCUACACCGACCAAAUUGUUUUUAUCUGUUCGGUUUAAGGAAUGCAUUCCAAAUCGUUUGCGUCUUAAGUUCUUCUUCCAAUUUAUUUUAUUUUUUUCCUCUUUUGAAUUGCCUUCGGUAUAAUAAGGGCUAAACAAGGUCAAGCCCUCUGAGGGAAAGAGUCUCGAAUCCGGUUCAUACGCCCUUGUGAGUCCAUAUCUUUUAGCCGAUUUGACUCAUCUUUGAUCUCUCCCGUCAACUAACUGGUCGGUUGAAGAAAAGCGGAACACGUUUUUUUUUUUUUCUUUUCUCGUCUUCCUGUUGCUGCAAGUAACCUUGAACUACGGCUGUCGCCUUUCGUUUGAUGCAACACGAGAAGAAGAUUGGAAGGCUAGACUGUUCACCAGAAGGUAGAAGAGAAAACUUUCACCUGUUCUCGAAUCUCUCGCAAGGAAUUUUUGUUUAAGGUCGCAGUGGAUUUAUUUCAAAACCAAGAUUUUUUUUUCCCUUCCAGGCGAAAAAUGAUAAUAAAAAUUCUUCCUUUUUUUUUUUCUUUCCUCCCUAAAAUCCUCUCGACAGGUCCUCUGCCCAUCAUAAUGACCCAUUCGUCAAACUGAUAUGGAAUCAAUUAUAGCUGAUGGUGAUGCGUUUUGCUGGAAUUUCCGUUGCUAGCCUAACUAAGAGGAUGUGCUUUUUAACAACCUUAUUUGAGUCCGUUGCAGAUUAUGAAAGCCUGUUGUAUGCGUAUAAAAAUAUAGUCUAGAUCUUCCUUGAUGGCUUCUCUUAUAUUCGAUUUGUUUUUCCUUAUAGCUCACCUGUUUGAUUUAUGUAAAAGAGAAAAAGCAAAAGGAGACCAAUGUUUUGAAUGAACGUUCUCGUACACGCCAUGAUGGAUGAUCUCACACCCAGCAGGUUGUUCAACUUUUUCCGAUUUCGUUACACAGUUUAAAGAAAAUCAUUGCAAGACAACAUUCAGAUGACGUGUUGUUUUUUAUUUAUUUAUUUUUGGGGAAAAAUCUAUUUCUCCCCCUAUUCAAACGAUUGCGUUAGAUUAUGCAGGCGGCCCCGUGGGCCUUUCAAAUAUAGGAGUUUGACCCACUUGUCCGUCUACUGGGGCCCGUCUCACACACAGGCCUUAAAGCUUUUUCAUGAUGUCUGCGUAUCUACGUGCGUCUAUGAAAUUCCUGUCGGUUCUUUUUAUUCGGUUUCUUCUACGUAUUAUUUUUUUUUUAAAAUAAAACAUAAAAAUGGCCUGUUAUUUUGUUUUCCUCUUCUUUUCCCUUUAACCUGUCGCCCCACGCUCAACAGGUGCACUAAGGUGGCACUAUAGCCUAAAGCCGGACUUUGGAAAACGGUCGAGUCUCUUUUCUCUUUCUCUGCUACGAUCUGGCACGGAUAUUUCGCAUGACGAGAGGAGAUAUUGUCGGUCUGUUUGAUCCCUUCCUUCAUUUUCGGACCAGGUGGCAUUGUGGAUGCGUGCGCGUACCGUCUAGACGAUCUCACUCGUCUAGCUGCAUCCAGAUUGAACGCGUUCGGUUCCAUUUCGGGUUGUUAGUUCGUGAUACCUGUGCUUUUUGCUUUCCUAUCCGGCAAACGGCACAGAAGGAUAUGCACGCAAGGAAAACCAUUGAAUGUAAUGACUUAAGGAGGCCAGCAGGGUAUCCUGUCACUUUCAUUCGAAGCACUGUUUAAUAAACAGUUACGGCCUUAUUUGACGGUCUUUUGAUUUGAUUAUUAGUGCCGGGGUUUUUUGGUGACAUGUCGAAAUGUUUGCCGAAACGCGUGGAAUGACGACUGAAAUGGCAGGAAAGAAAACGGUCGUAUUGUUUGUUAACAACGUGCGUGAGCGCGACCGACAGGUUCCGCUUUCUUCCUUUUAUCUUUAUACGACCCCUAUGGUUGUGUAUUUUAGUAAGGUACUUUUUAAUCCGUGCUGUGGGUGCGACGGGAUUGUGUAGGUGCAUCGGAUGACCCCAACAAAGCUGACGAAAAGAGCUUUCGCUUUCCAGAACCGUCUCGAUCGACUUGGCAUCACGCGGACAUUAACGGUAGAAAACGUGUAUGGGAAAAAGCUAUACAAACAACAGUUGCGAUUUAUUUCUGUCCAAGACGAAGAAAUAAAUGUCCACCCAAACUGGGAUUUUCAAAAUUUUA
Long non-coding RNA from Daphnia magna, 4363 nucleotides. RefSeq lists it as uncharacterized. Lineage: Eukaryota; Metazoa; Arthropoda; Branchiopoda; Diplostraca; Daphniidae. The transcript is spliced from 6 exons. The record is from RefSeq and is a predicted model, not a curated record.